Dentipellis sp. KUC8613 is the source of this 109-nucleotide non-coding RNA. Lineage: Eukaryota; Fungi; Basidiomycota; Agaricomycetes; Russulales; Hericiaceae. The record is from the annotation of a GenBank genome assembly.
CCUUCGAUAGCUCAGCUGGAAGAGCGUGAGACUGUAACCGGAUACCUAUUAAGCACCCACCCUUGCGCGGAACAUCUCAAGGCCGCUGGUUCGAUCCCGGCUCGAAGGA